This 3240-nucleotide unclassified non-coding RNA is filed under the name Homarus americanus (American lobster). RNAcentral describes it as "sH3 domain-binding protein 5 homolog, transcript variant X2". Lineage: Eukaryota; Metazoa; Arthropoda; Malacostraca; Decapoda; Nephropidae. The record is from RNAcentral.
ACCAGCGAGUGAGUGAGGUCGAGGGAAGGAAGAAAGAAUGUUCCCUUGGGUGAAACUUGUUCUUCACCUGCCGCUGGAGGAGUUACCCGCCAUGACUCACUAGCUCAGCCGCUGGAGGAGUUACCCGCCAUGACUCACUAGCUCAGCCCAGGGAGGAGACACUCUACCAGCCGCCAUGGAGGAGGAACAACUUGACCCGAGGGUACAGAUUGAGCUGGAGAAGCUUAACACUGCGACUGAUGACAUCAAUAAGCUGGAGGCCAAGUUAGAGGAAGCCAAUAAUGUGUUCCGAGCAACUCUCAGCGAAUCCACGGCCCGCCUCAAGGCCAUGGCCAAGAAACUGGGCGGCUGUAUCGAGAAGGCCCGGCCAUAUUACGAGGCUCGAGAGUUGGCCAGAACGUCCCAGCUGGACUGUCAGAGGGCCGCCGUCCAGUACCAGAGAGCUAAUGCCCUACACCAGGCGGCCAAGGAAACGAUCGCUCUGGCUGAGGAGAGAUUCGUUAACUGCCGACACCAACACUGGCAGUUUGACUCGGCUUGGCAGGAGAUGCUUAACCAUGCUACUAUUAAGGUGAUGGAAGCGGAGGCACAGAAGGCUGCCAGUGAGAGGGAACACAUGCGUCGAGCCUCGGUGUUCCAGCAGGCGGAACAACGCGUCCAGCAGCUACAGCGCGGCCUGAGGUCCUCUAUCAACAAGUCGCUGGUUUACUUCGACGAGAAAAAUAACAUCCAGUCGCAGUUAGAGAAUCAGAAGGAUAAAGUUCAACAGUUACAGCGAGCUAUCUCUGCCUCCAAGACGUCUUACGCCCAAUCGUUGAGGAGCCUCGAGCAGAUUUCCGAAGAGAUUCAUCAACAGCGGAGGUGCCGUCUGCCGAGGGAGCCGGGCGUAGGGGCUGAGCUGACGCCACCAGAGGCCGUCGAGACCCUCUUGAGUGCCCACCAUGGUGCCAGGCCCUUUGUCCCUCUAGAGGAGAUGACCGCACAGGAGGAGAAGUACUGGGAAACAUUACGUGAAAAACUGGAGAAACUUCAAGUAAGUAACCCGGAUGUCAUGCCAUCGGCCGAGGGGGAGGAGGACGAAUCUUUGUCCCUCUGUGCCUCUCCUGACGGCCGGGAGAGAACGGUGACGGGCAGCAGCAGCGGCGGUGACCUAGACAGGGUGGUCAGCGGGGAGAGCUGUCCCGAGUCAGAGAGCGACGAGGUCCACAGUCCGGGAGAGAGGACGGUAAUAUCCCUCGACGACGUCUUGAUUCACGUUCCCCUCGACGUCGACCGGGAGACGAUGCCAGGAGCCGUCGACCUCGAUAACGUCUUGACUCGCGUUCCCGUCGACGUAAACAUCGCCCGGGAGACACCGAUAUAUCUCCACCGCGACGACAGUACAAAUACGUCCGGGAGUGUUUAUCAGCGGCCGCCACAGCCUCGGAGAACUCCAGUGGGGUGUGAUGGGUCGGUGAAGCGAGGGGAGGUGAACAGUGAAGCCGUGAGAACUAUGGCCCCUAUUAUGAGCAACGAGGUGAUUAAUGGCUCGUUAGCUCCUGUUUUGAGUAAUGAGGUGAUUAAUGGCUCGUUAGCUCCUGUAAUGAGUAACGAGGUGAUUAAUGGCUCGUUAGCUCCUGUUUUGAGUAAUGAGGUGAUUAAUGGCUCGUUAGCUCCUGUAAUGAGUAACGAGGUGAUUAAUGGGUCGUUAGCUCCUGUAAUGAAUAAUGAAUUAGGUGAUAGUUACAAAAACAAGAAUGAAAUGAGUGAUAACAGACUGAGAAACACGGAUAACGACCUCAGACUGAACGCAACUGCUCGUUUGGACGGCUGGAACGGUAACGAUGGGGUUAUAGACACGGGUGGACCGAACGACCAUGGUAAUGACCGCGUAGACGAUGAUAAUGAUGAUGGUAAUGUUGAUAAUGAUGAUGGUAAUGUUGAUAAUGAUGAUGGUAAUGAUGAUGGUAGUGAUGAUGGUAGUGAUGGUAGUGAUGAUGGUAGUGCCCCAGAAGGUGGUUCUUCCCUCUCUAGGCCUCCUGCUAUGUGCCAGCCUAGUAGAGCAUUGAACGUUAUACCUGAAGCUGUGGAGACUACUUAGGGCCCUCUCGGUCACUCCUGGGCCCUCAUUGUCACUCCUGGGCCCCUUAAUGUACCUCACAGGCCCCUAAACAUAAACUGUUUAUACAGGGGGUAAAUUAAUAUCUUUUCAUUUAUUGUUAUCUAAUCAGUGUCAGCAGGCAGGAGGUACUGUCAGCUGUCAGGAGUUAGUGUCAGCAGUCAGGAGGUACCAUCAGCUGUCAGGAGCCAGUGUCAGCAGUCAGGAGGUACUGUCUUGAACCAGGUGUAAUUCGUUCACAGGAAAGAUUUCAAAGUUAAAGUUAAAUUUUUGAUAAUUAUUUUUGUAUUGACACAUAAUGUAUGUUAUUUUGUGAAGCUGGUGGUCGAUUAUGGCUCUUAAUUCUAGCAGUCAUAACUGGCUCUAUCAUGGCUCUUAAUCCUAGCAGUCAUAACUGGCUCUAUCAUGGCUCUUAAUCCUAGCAGUCAUAACUGGCUCUAUCAUGGCUCUUAAUCCAAGCAGUCAUAACUGGCUCUAUCAUGGCUCUUAAUCCUAGCAGUCAUAACUGGCUCUAUCAUGGCUCUUAAUCCUAGCAGUUACCAUCCAUAGUCAGUCCUAGCAGUUCAGCAACACUUAUCUAUGAGGAUUUUAAACCCAUAAGCUAAAUCCUUUUUAUGGGGUCAGGUUAGGUUAGUUUAAGCCAGGUUAGGUUAGAGAUGAGUCAAGCUAGAUUAGUUUAGGUUAGAGUUAGGUUGGGUUAGAGAUGAGUCAAGAUAGAUUAGGUUAGGUUAGAGUUAGGUUGGGUUAAAUCAGCCCAGGUUAGGUUGUUGAGUCAAGCUAGAUUAGGUUAGAGUUAGGUUAGUGUUAGGUUGGGUUAGAUCAGCCCAGGUUAAAUUAGAGUCAGGUCAAGCUAGAUUAGUUUAGGUUAGAGUUAGGUUGGGUUACGUUGGUAUAUGCUAGGACCACACUGCCCUGCCUCUAGUGCUAUACCUUACACCACAACACCGCUGAUAUAAACAUUACAAUAUUUUGCUUUCGGUGUUCCCGCAGACGUUCACCAGCCCUGUGUUGUGGGGUCAACUUCGUGCAGCUCAGUGGUAUGGGGUCAAUAAUGAACACAGAACAGGAGAACUUUGAACAAUAACUUGAGUUGAACUAAUUAUAGAGAUCAAUUGAAAUAAAAUAUUAUUCAAGUGUGUUUA